CGGCUGGGUGGGUGCGGAGUGCGCCAGCGGCCAAGUCAAGACUCCUUGAAUGCUCAGGAAGGUGUGACUUGCAGAGGAGUUGAUUCCUUCUUAUGUACAUUUACUGGAGAAGUUUACAGCAGGAGACUGGGGUCUGAGACACACGCAUCUUUGUGUGCCCCAAAGAAUAAAGCCCUCAAAGGAUGUGAAGCCUGAACUCACUUCAAAUGCUGGAAAGGCCCUUUCCUUAGCUGAGCUGUGGAGGAACCAGGACUCCUGUGGCACUGCCCUAACGAGGAGGCAGUGCUGCCAGAUUCAGAAAAAUAUUUGAAGAAUCACAUAGUCAAAAGCAAAAAUCCAGAAAUGGUCAAGAGAACUACGAUUAUUGAGCCUCACUGAGUGUUCACACUGGUCUGCAAGACAGCUUUGAUUCAGCUGAUUUCAGCCAGGCUCACCCCGACUUUGCAGGGCGCUGCGAACCCCAGCCUUCAGGUCGGGUUCAGCAUCCAGCAGUGCCCUGGAAAAGUGGCUGUGAAGUUACUUGCAAGACUGCAUUGAACCCGGGCGAGACACUUCUCAGGGGAGCUGUCCAGCUACAUUCUCUGAGUGAAGGUCCUGAACAGCUUGGAGUACUAAGAAGAGCGCUGGACAUGAACUGGAAUAUGUGGGUUCAAAUCCCACCUUUUCACUGCCCAGCUCUGUGACCCUGAGCAAGUGACUCAACCUCUGUGAGCCCCGUGUCCUCUCUGUAAAAUGGAGACAAGGAAUGCAAAGCUCACGGAUGCCGAGGAAUUUAUCCAAGAUCACUGUGAUGGGAUGGGAACUUUGGUUUUCAGCCUUUAAAUACAUUGGUGCAGAAGUCCAAGAAAGAUGCUUGGAAAGACCUAGUGGUA
This 872-nucleotide long non-coding RNA is filed under the name Homo sapiens (human). RNAcentral's name for it is "HSALNT0224851". Lineage: Eukaryota; Metazoa; Chordata; Mammalia; Primates; Hominidae. The record is from RNAcentral.